RNAcentral lists this unclassified non-coding RNA (170 nucleotides) under uncultured Pezizomycetes. RNAcentral's name for it is "sequence contains ITS2". The record is from RNAcentral. Lineage: Eukaryota; Fungi; Ascomycota; Pezizomycetes.
CACACCCUCCGCGGUUCUCUUUGUUGAGGUCCGUCGGGUCUUGGGGUUCCCUUCACGGGGGACCUCUAAAGUGGAAAGCCAGCGGCCCGCCUGCCCAUGAAAGACGUAGUAAACACAUGAACCGUCCGCGAAAGGGUCUGGGCGAGGCUCGCCUCGAAUCUAUAUCUAAG